AGAGUUUGAUCCUGGCUCAGAUUGAACGCUGCGGCAUGCGUAACACAUGCAAGUCGAACGGUGUUGGUGCUUGCACCAGACAUAGUGGCGGACGGGUGAGUAAUGCGUAGGAAUCUGUCUUAGAGAGGGGGACAACCCGAGGAAACUUGGGCUAAAACCGCAUAUUCUCGAGAGAGGAAAGCAGGGGACCGGAAACGGCCUUGUGCUCUAAGGUGAGCCUACGUCGGAUUAGCUAGUUGGUAGGGUAAAAGCCUACCAAGGCGAUGAUCUGUAGCUGGUCUGAGAGGACGGACAGCCACACUGGGACUGAGACACGGCCCAGACUCCUACGGGAGGCAGCAGUGGGGAAUAUUGGACAAUGGGGGGAACCCUGAUCCAGCGAUGCCGCGUGUGUGAAGAAGGCCUGCGGGUUGUAAAGCACUUUCAGUGGGAAAGAGAAGCGUCUUGUGAAUAAUGGGACGUGGAGACGUUACUCACAGAAGAAGCACCGGCUAACUCUGUG
This 502-nucleotide ribosomal RNA is filed under the name uncultured bacterium. RNAcentral describes it as "bacterial SSU rRNA". It matches the Rfam family "Bacterial small subunit ribosomal RNA", at positions 8 to 507 of the family's 1533-position model. The record is from RNAcentral.